AAAUUGAAGAGUUUGAUCAUGGCUCAGAUUGAACGCUGGCGGCAGGCCUAACACAUGCAAGUCGAACGGUAACAGGAAGCAGCUUGCUGCUUUCUUGACGAGAGGACGACGGGAGAGGAAUGUCUGGGAAACUGCCCGAUGGAGGGGGAUAACUAAUGGAAACGGUAGCUAA
Molecule: ribosomal RNA, 172 nt
Filed under: Escherichia coli
Lineage: Bacteria; Pseudomonadati; Pseudomonadota; Gammaproteobacteria; Enterobacterales; Enterobacteriaceae
Description: partial 16S ribosomal RNA
Rfam family: Bacterial small subunit ribosomal RNA
Source: RNAcentral